RNAcentral lists this transfer RNA (71 nucleotides) under Salmo salar (Atlantic salmon). It matches the Rfam family "tRNA". From Rfam's summary of the family: Transfer RNA (tRNA) molecules are approximately 80 nucleotides in length. Their secondary structure includes four short double-helical elements and three loops (D, anti-codon, and T loops). Lineage: Eukaryota; Metazoa; Chordata; Actinopteri; Salmoniformes; Salmonidae. RNAcentral also lists the same sequence under 1 other name. The record is from Rfam by way of RNAcentral.
GAUAGUGUGGCCAAGUGGUCUAAGGCGCUCCAAUCUCUUUGGGGGCGUGGGUUCGAAUUCCACUGCUGUCA